Molecule: ribosomal RNA, 426 nt
Filed under: uncultured Pseudomonadota bacterium
Lineage: Bacteria; Pseudomonadati; Pseudomonadota
Description: bacterial SSU rRNA
Rfam family: Bacterial small subunit ribosomal RNA
Source: RNAcentral
GGGGAAUUUUGGACAAUGGGGGCAACCCUGAUCCAGCCAUGCCGCGUGAGUGAAGAAGGCCUUCGGGUUGUAAAGCUCUUUCGGCCGGGAAGAAAUCGUGCAGGCUAAUACCCUGUAUGGAUGACGGUACCGGAAUAAGAAGCACCGGCUAACUACGUGCCAGCAGCCGCGGUAAUACGUAGGGUGCGAGCGUUAAUCGGAAUUACUGGGCGUAAAGCGUGCGCAGGCGGUUUUGUAAGUCAGAGGUGAAAGCCUGGAGCUCAACUCCAGAACUGCCUUUGAUACUGGAAGUCUUGAGUUCGGGAGAGGUGAGUGGAACUGCGAGUGUAGAGGUGAAAUUCGUAGAUAUUCGCAAGAACACCAGUGGCGAAGGCGGCUCACUGGCCCGAUACUGACGCUGAGGCACGAAAGCGUGGGGAGCAAACA